AUCAUGUCUUCCAUGCUCAGAAUCCACAUUUUACAGUCUUGAAUUUUAAAAAACCCAGUUUGUUUUUGGUGCGUUUUUAACUGCAAGGUCCUGAGUGACUAACCCAGCCAUCCUCUCGGGGCGCAAUAAUGUACCCGUGGCCACAUUGAAGGCCCCGCCCAUUCCUGGCCCCUCCCCCCCGCCCGCGGGACGGCGAGUGCAGGCGGGCGGGACUCCUCUGACCUCGCCCCCGUGCCCCCAGCGUCCCCUCAUAGGCUUUUCCAACACCCGUUUUGAUUGGCUCCUGGGAGAUUGUGCCCUGUCCCCCGAAAAGUAAUUUUAGUGAAACUGCUUUGUGUGUGGUGGACUCCAUUAAGGCCAGACCUGGGCCCAAUACGUAUUUGCUUUGGAUUCAAAUACUUUCCUACACUUUACUGAUCUUGUCUGGUGUAUUGGAACCAAUGAAAUACACUCAAAAAGUGCAAACCCCGCCUUCUGGUCAUAUUGGCUGGCUCAGCUGCACCAGGCAAGAUCAAUAGAGCACUGAAAAGUAUUUGAAUCCAAAACAAAUUCGUUUUUGACCCAGUUCUGAUUAAGGCUAUCUUUUCAUUCAAAUGAGUAGGUGUGAGCGUGCGUGAGUGCUUAGGGGGACAGAGCAAGAUCUUUAAAGCCUACUACAGCCUGUCCGUCAUCUUCAGUGGCCUAUGACAUGCAAUGGCCCCAUACAUCCCUGCAUCAUGCGGCAGCUUACUGCGUACUUAAAACGUUUUAACUAGGGAUGUGAACCACGCUAGUUGCUGUCUAUAACGGACUAAUCAGGUUUUUUGUUUACCAUUUUAUGUUGGAUACUGCUUAUAGAAACAUGCCAGAACCUGAACCAGCACAGGUCACAAGAUUAAAACAUCUAAAAAGUAAAACCUAAGCAUCGCUAUAUAUUUUUUCUAGAACGAUUAUAUGCUGCUUCGCUCACUGCAGUGGUUAAGAGCAGCAAGUUACUUAAAACAAACACAACUAUUUUCAAUUAUUUUAUUUAACAGGUGUGCUUGUGACCUGAAAAUCGAGGCGUCGCCGGUUUGUUCUCAUCCCUAGUUUUGACGCGUUUGUCUGCGCGGUGCCGCCAUUUUGUUUCGCGGCUGCAGUCGAGGCUCGGCCGGCCCAGCAGUGAUCGCACUGUCCCUCGACCUCGCGCCUUUGCUUCUUUCCACGGGUCACGCACGCCCCCCCCUUUAACGGUAGGGUUGCCACGGGUUACGCACGCCCUCCCGCUAACUGGGAGGGUUGCCACGGGUGCGCUGGCCACGCCUCUCUCCCUAAACGUUUUUUCGAGGCUCGAUCACUGACGUCUUCGACUGCUUCAUGAAGCGCUGGGGGUUUUGCAUGCAGCCACCUUCUGGGGUGUGUACACUUCCAGCCCCCUCCCCCCCCCCCCGAAAA
Long non-coding RNA from Anguilla rostrata (American eel), 1413 nucleotides. RefSeq lists it as uncharacterized. Lineage: Eukaryota; Metazoa; Chordata; Actinopteri; Anguilliformes; Anguillidae. The record is from RefSeq and is a predicted model, not a curated record. The transcript is spliced from 2 exons.